Molecule: ribosomal RNA, 515 nt
Filed under: Salmonella enterica
Lineage: Bacteria; Pseudomonadati; Pseudomonadota; Gammaproteobacteria; Enterobacterales; Enterobacteriaceae
Description: bacterial SSU rRNA
Rfam family: Bacterial small subunit ribosomal RNA
Source: RNAcentral
AAAUUGAAGAGUUUGAUCAUGGCUCAGAUUGAACGCUGGCGGCAGGCCUAACACAUGCAAGUCGAACGGUAGCACAGAGAGCUUGCUCUCGGGUGACGAGUGGCGGACGGGUGAGUAAUGUCUGGGAAACUGCCUGAUGGAGGGGGAUAACUACUGGAAACGGUGGCUAAUACCGCAUAACGUCGAAAGACCAAAGAGGGGGACCUUCGGGCCUCUUGCCAUCAGAUGUGCCCAGAUGGGAUUAGCUUGUUGGUGAGGUAACGGCUCACCAAGGCGACGAUCCCUAGCUGGUCUGAGAGGAUGACCAGCCACACUGGAACUGAGACACGGUCCAGACUCCUACGGGAGGCAGCAGUGGGGAAUAUUGCACAAUGGGCGCAAGCCUGAUGCAGCCAUGCCGCGUGUAUGAAGAAGGCCUUCGGGUUGUAAAGUACUUUCAGCGGGGAGGAAGGUGUUGUGGUUAAUAACCGCAGCAAUUGACGUUACCCGCAGAAGAAGCACCGGCUAACUCCGUG